UACGUAGGUGGCAAGCGUUGUCCGGAUUUACUGGGCGUAAAGAGCGCGCAGGCGGUCGUUCAAGUCGCGUGUGAAAGCCCCCGGCUCAACUGGGGAGGGUCACGCGAUACUGAUCGACUGGAAGGCAGGAGAGGGUAGUGGAAUUCCUGGUGUAGCGGUGAAAUGCGCAGAUAUCAGGAGGAACACCGGUGGCGAAGGCGGUUCUCUGGGCACGACCUGACGCUGAGGAGCGAAAGUGUGGGGAGCGAACAGG
RNAcentral lists this ribosomal RNA (253 nucleotides) under uncultured bacterium. RNAcentral describes it as "partial 16S ribosomal RNA". It matches the Rfam family "Bacterial small subunit ribosomal RNA", at positions 524 to 776 of the family's 1533-position model. The record is from RNAcentral.